GUCAGUUGCUUGCUUGUUUGCAUGUGCUGUUUGCUUUCAGUCGCAAUAUUGCAGCAAGCAAAGCAACAUGUGGGAUCGCGAGAAAACGAUAAAAUUAAUUGAAUUUUACGAGAAUCAUUCUGUUUUAUGGGAUGCCUCGUCAGUAGACUAUAAAAAUAAGCAUAAAAAGCAAAAUGCUUAUCGUGAAAUUGCUGAAAAAUUAGACAAAAGUAAAGAUGAAAUAAAAACAAAAAUUCAUCAUUUGCGCACUCAAUUUUUGCAAGAGGUGCGCAGAGUGAAGCAAAAAAAGUGUGGCCAGGGUACAUCGGACAACUAUACCAGUAAAUGGGAGUUUUUCGAUGCACUUAAAUUCAUUCAAAAUGACGACGGAAAUAAUUAUGAAAUUCAAAAAUUGAUGACAGAUGACGUACCAAGUACAUCCAAAACAAAAAAAAGAAAACGUUAUGUGAUAGAAUUUAAGGACGAAGAUCAGCAUUUUAAAAAGGCAAGCACUUUACUCGAUAAACCAGCGGAUGAUCAUCAGGUGUUCGGUGAUUUCGUUGCAUCUGAGCUCAGAUUGUUGAAAUCACAUCAAAAUAGACUUCUGCUUCGCAGAAAAAUUCAAAGAGCUAUUUUGGAAGUAUCGGAAAUUGAUAGCGAGGACACUUUUACUUGAUCCACGCCUAAUAUCGUGUACUCAUCUACCAACUCUCCAGUUCUUGCCUUUUCCGACGGAAUGCGACAAAGAA
Long non-coding RNA from Drosophila albomicans, 728 nucleotides. RefSeq lists it as uncharacterized. The transcript has 3 exons. Lineage: Eukaryota; Metazoa; Arthropoda; Insecta; Diptera; Drosophilidae. The record is from RefSeq and is a predicted model, not a curated record.